GACGAACGCUGGCGGCGUGCUUAACACAUGCAAGUCGAGCGGAAAGGCCACUUCGGUGGUACUCGAGCGGCGAACGGGUGAGUAACACGUGAGUAAUCUGCCCCUGGCUUUGGGAUAGCCACCGGAAACGGUGAUUAAUACCGGAUACGACCGCUUCUCGCAUGGGAUGGUGGUGGAAAGUUUUUUCGGCCAGGGAUGUGCUCGCGGCCUAUCAGCUUGAUGGUGAGGUAAUGGCUCACCAUGGCUUCGACGGGUAGCCGGCCUGGGAGGGUGACCGGUCACAGUGGGACUGAGGCACGGCCCAGUCUCCUACGGGAGGCAGCAGUGGGGAAUAUUGGACAAUGGGCGGAAGCCUGAUCCAGCAACGCCGCGUGGGGGAUGACGGCCUUCGGGUUGUAAACCUCUUUCAGCAGGGACGAAGCGCAAGUGACGGUACCUGCAGAAGAAGCACCGGCCAACUACGUGCCAGCAGCCGCCGUAA
Molecule: ribosomal RNA, 481 nt
Filed under: uncultured bacterium
Lineage: Bacteria
Description: partial 16S ribosomal RNA
Rfam family: Bacterial small subunit ribosomal RNA
Source: RNAcentral